Long non-coding RNA from Bradysia coprophila, 304 nucleotides. NCBI's taxonomy places the organism in Eukaryota, Metazoa, Arthropoda, Insecta, Diptera, Sciaridae. The record is from RefSeq and is a predicted model, not a curated record.
ACCAUUUGAAAAUUUGUAGCCUAUAUUUAGGCGGAAAAUAUUUGUUUGUUGAUGCUUUCUCUGAACCAAAAUCUUUUUUUGAAAAAAUAAAACCAUUAAAGCAUGCAAAAAUGUGUUACUUUUAAAGCAAAAAUUGGUUUGUGGGUGAUAACUUAUCCCACUUGGAGGAACCUUUGCAAAUGUGUAAAUUUAUGUGUUUUGCAAAGGUUUCUCUAAGUGGGUUAAAUUAUGACUCACAAGCCAAUUUUUCUUUCAAAAGUAACACAUUUUUGCGUGCUUUAAUGGUUUUACUUUUUCAAAAAAA